This is a long non-coding RNA of Mytilus californianus (California mussel), 3218 nucleotides long. RefSeq lists it as uncharacterized. The record is from RefSeq and is a predicted model, not a curated record. The transcript is spliced from 5 exons. Lineage: Eukaryota; Metazoa; Mollusca; Bivalvia; Mytilida; Mytilidae.
UGAGAUCUUAUGUCCAUCAAAUGCUGUGGAAACUGAACUAGAUCAUUUGAAAGAGGAAGUCUCACAUCAGAAGGAUAAAACAUUCUUGAAUCUAAGAAAGUUGUUCAAUGAACCAAAGUUAAGAGUUGGUUUGUUUCUUGUAUGUUUCCUGCAAGUCGCUCAACAGUUGUCUGGAAUUAACACAGUAACUGCUUACUCAGGUUUUAUAUAUCAAGGUUCAGGUGUAGAAAUAGAACUUAUCCAUUGGAUGGUUUUUGGAACAACACUGAUAAAUUUCAUCAUGACCACGUUUUCGUUGACUGUUAUGCAGAACUAUGGAAGGAGAUCAGUUAUGAUAGAAAGUACAAAAUUUAUGGGAGUAGCAUUUGCUGUACUAUUCAUUUCCAGUAAUCUAUGUCAGAGUUUUCAAAACCUUUGUCCAUACAUUGCAAUUGUAUCAGUUUUUGUUUACAUUGUCUGCUAUUCCUUAGGAUUAGGGCCAAUCCCAUAUAUAGUUGUUCAAGAGUUCUUCGACCAUGAUGCGCAGGGUGCUGCUUUUAAUGCAUCAGUUGCAUUUCAUUGGAUUUGUAACUGUCUAGUGAUAUUUGUUUUCAGAAUGUUACAGAUGUCAAUGGGUAGUUAUGUGUACCUUAUGUUCAGUGUAAUUACAUUUGUUCUUUGUUUGAUGAUGUUCAAAAUUUUGCCAGAAACAAGAGACAUGGAUAUAGCUGCUAUUACUAAUUCUAGUGAAUACAAAUAUGCUAAACGUCUUUUAUGUAGAAGUCCUAGUCAGAAAGAAAAAGGAGAAACAGACCCUUUAAAGUCAUAGCUUACAUUUCAGUUUAGUAAGAUAAUAUAUAUUUAUUUUGUUUAAGUUUCUAGUCUUACAAAUUUGAAUGCAUAAUUGUUUUUAUCACAAUUUACAAUUUAUAUAUGACAAUUAUUUUUAAAUUACAAAGUUUUAUGACAUAUCAGUAAUAUAUAUACAUUUGUACAAAUUUAUGUUUGUAAAUAUUAACAAUGUAAUCCUGUUCUUCAGUUCUAAAGGUACUUCACAAAAAACUUAACUUAUAAUUUCUUAUAUUUUGUAAAUUUCUAUGGUAUUUUAGGAAGUGGGUAUGUGAAUCUUUAGCAAUUAAUAUUUUGCAAAAAAAUGUGGUACAACUAAUAAAUGGGAUAAAGAUAGAUCAUCAAUAUAAACCAGCCAAAGCAAACAUUGAUAACUUAUUGUAACUUCACGUUUCACAAUUGGAUGUUUCCAAUUUAACUGCACCAGAUGCAAAUUUUUAGAUUUAAUGUCUUUUCAACUGGUACAGUGAUGUUCAAAACCAAAAUACUAUUCAAAAUAAUUUUAAAAGCUUUGAUUUUCAAAUAUUUUGGCCUCAAGCAUUACUGAGGAGACAUUUAUUAUCCAAAUGCACAUCUGUUGAAGUCAAACUGGUACAGUUAAUGUUGUUGAUAGUGUGUAUUUUUGUGUAAAAGGUAGUUGUUUUUUUUAUUCUGGUUGUCAGCCUAUUUGACAUAAUUUUGAUACUAGUAGUUUCUGUAUUAUUUUUUCAUAGUUUUUUUAAUCUUUACAUAUUUUAUAAUUUUUAUUUCUGUCUUCUUGUUCAUUUACUUAUACCCUCAUACCUUCCAUCAUGUAAAAUUAAUCAAAAUUAUUUGUUUUCAUUUUAUGAAUUUAAAGCUUAAAUGUAUAUAUGAGUUAUGAUUUAAUGUUGAAUCAUUAGAAUACAAUUUUAAAUGUUGAUUUUUUAUUUGUGUUGAUGAGAGAAUAUGCUAAUGGUAGAAUUUAAUCAUGAGCACAAGUUUAUGAUUCUCUGUUAUUGUAAAUAUUGUCUCCUGAUAUACAUAAUAAUGAUCAAAACUUAAUUUAUACCUUGUUAAUUGAGUAUUCAAGUGUUCUGCUUACUGAAUUUCAUAAAGGUUAUAUUAAAUAUUUAGCUUUAACGAAAUAAAAAAAUGAAUUAAUAGGUACACCAAAGUCAUGUUUAAAACUUAAAAUUAAUUUGUAAUGUGUACAUGACGUAUUGAAUUCAAAGCAGAAAUGUCAGUUUGUAAUGUGUUUGGCUGGUAGGUUUUGGUAAAAUUAAAUAACUUUUAUACAAAAGGAUAUUUGAUUCAAAUAAACAUCUUUCUUUACCUGAUAUGAAAACAUGUUGCAAAAUAUUUAUUAACAUGAUCAAGGUAAGGAUAGAAAAUAUUAAUGGAUAGAUCUCAAUAGUUAAAGCAAUGAUCCUAGUCAUUACAGUUUUACCUCAAGGGAAAAGGUUUUGAAGUCCAAAAGCAAAUAUGUAAGGCGAAAUUCAAAUUGUUAUUACUUAAAUGACAGGGAAGUUCCUUGUGAACACUCAAAGGAUUUUACUUGGAAGAUUUAAAAUUCUUCAUGACUGAUUUCAAGUGACCUGAUCAUUCUUUACUUUUCCUUAUCUUUUUUUCCCUUAUUUUCUUGCCUUGAUAAACAAGAACUAGGCAUGUUGUUUUCAUGCGUCAACUCAGGAGUCAAAACUGGACCAAAUCACUACUCAAACUUAAAAUUCAUGCCAAUUUUUUUAACAUGUAAUUUCUUCCCCCUACUUGAUAUUUUAUGCAUAAAAUAUAAAGAAAUAAAUCUGGAAGGUGUAUGAAAAAAAAUUGCAAGUUAUACACUGUCCACAGAAAAAAUCAAUAGAAUUAAAAAUGGAGACUAUUCAGCCAAGCCUACUCAGUCAUAGUUCAUUGACCUUUAAACUUUUGCAUUAUUUACUUGUUGAAAUUUGUGAUCAUGUGUGACAAUAUGAUGGGCUUAAAAUAUAUAUAUAUAUUUAUAUAUAUAUAUAUUUAUAUUUAUAUUUAUGAUUAUAUAUUCUCAAAAUGUUUAUUAAAUUGAAUAAAAUAAAUACAGGGGAAUAUCUAUUAAGAAAAUCAUGCCCUUGGGAAAGGUUGUUUUAAUUGACCACUACGUUGCAUAUAACUUUAAAAACAUGUUUACAUGCAGACCAGAUGGUGACAUGUUGUAAUAACAAUUAGUUAAAAGACUGGACAUACGUGUAUUCUACAACUAUUAAUUUCCAGCUUGGUCAAAACAUGUCAAUUAGAGUCAACUUAAUAGAUAUUCACCCAUGUACCUUUAGAAUUAAAACUAUUAUUGUCAAAUUAAUAGAAACUUUGACAAACUGUUAUAUUCUGUAUAUAUACUUAUGUAUUUACUGUAUGGGACACAUCGGCUCAUUUGGCGUAAAUAAACUGUUAACUAACUA